CCUUGUCUCCUAGUAUUGGAGCUUGAUCUUGUGUGUUUCCUGCUCUUCUAUUUGUCACCAUGAAGUUCCUGACACUCCUUGUGUUGCUUGGUGUUUCCACUAUCCUAGUCUCUUGCCAGGACGCAGAGACAAACAGUGCUGACACUUCUGAAACUGCUGAUUCUACUGGUGGAAAUACUAGCUCUGAAACUCAGGCAGAUAGUACUAAUGAAAACCAAGAUGCUGAGUCCUCUAAUUUAGCCAAGGAAGAAAAUGAGAGCACUGAGAAUACCAACACUGCUAAUGAGGCCUCUGAGGAGGACAAAAAGGGAGAGACAGAUGAUAACAUUACCAGGGAAGACACCUCCACUCAGAAAGAAGAGGAUGAUACCUCUAAUCAGACCAAAGUGGGUGACACCUCCAUUCAGAAGGAAGAGGAUGAUACCUCCAAUAACAUAGAAGGGGAUAAUACCUCUAAUCAGAACAAUGUGAAUGAUACCUCCAAUGAGAAACAAGAGGAUAAUACCUCUCAUAAAAAAGAAGGCAAUGACAAGACUGAACAGAAAAAAGAAGAUGGCAAAAAAAAUUUAAUAUUAUUGGAAAAAUGAAAGAAAUGAAAAAGAAGAUGAAUGUAAUGAUAUUGAAUAACAUUCAUGGUAGAUGAGUUUGCAUCUUCUACUACUGACCUUUCUGACACAGACUAGAACAUCCUUGAUUUGAUUUCCUCCAGUUAUUUACCCUGACUAUUUGCUCUCUCUCUCAUUGCUAACUUUUAUCAAAUAAAUGGUAAUCAUGAGCAGCAUC
RNA transcript from Mus musculus (house mouse), 783 nucleotides. It is a transcript of the gene named mucin-like 1, transcript variant 1, non-coding, with no coding region annotated. The record is from RefSeq and is marked validated. The transcript is spliced from 4 exons. Lineage: Eukaryota; Metazoa; Chordata; Mammalia; Rodentia; Muridae.